RNAcentral lists this ribosomal RNA (253 nucleotides) under uncultured bacterium. RNAcentral describes it as "partial 16S ribosomal RNA". It matches the Rfam family "Bacterial small subunit ribosomal RNA", at positions 524 to 776 of the family's 1533-position model. The record is from RNAcentral.
UACGUAGGGUGCAAGCGUUGUCCGGAAUUAUUGGGCGUAAAGAGCUCGUAGGCGGUUUGUCGCGUCUGCUGUGAAAACCCGAGGCUCAACCUCGGGCCUGCAGUGGGUACGGGCAGACUAGAGUGCGGUAGGGGAGAAUGGAAUUCCUGGUGUAGCGGUGGAAUGCGCAGAUAUCAGGAGGAACACCGAUGGCGAAGGCGGGACUCUGGGCCGAUACUGACGCUGAGGAGCGAAAGCGUGGGGAGCAAACAGG